AACGCAUAUUGCGCCCCCCCGGCAUUCCGGAGGGCAUGCCUGUCCGAGCGUCAUUGCAACCCUCAAGCUUGGCUUGUCGUUGGGCCUCGUCCCCCGUGGACGGGCCUGAAAUGCAGUGGCGGUGCCGUGUCUGGUGCCUGGCGUAUGGGCUUACAACACCCGCCAAAGGUCCAGGCGGCGCCGGCCGAUCCAGUGGCUCCAGUGGUUGACCUCGGAUCAGGUAGGGAUACCCGCUGAACUUAA
Molecule: unclassified non-coding RNA, 243 nt
Filed under: uncultured Onygenales
Lineage: Eukaryota; Fungi; Ascomycota; Eurotiomycetes; Onygenales
Description: sequence contains 5.8S rRNA gene, ITS2, 28S rRNA gene
Source: RNAcentral